Molecule: ribosomal RNA, 201 nt
Filed under: Lactobacillus sp. L38
Lineage: Bacteria; Bacillati; Bacillota; Bacilli; Lactobacillales; Lactobacillaceae
Description: partial 16S ribosomal RNA
Rfam family: Bacterial small subunit ribosomal RNA
Source: RNAcentral
ACUGCUGCCUCCCGUAGGAGUAGGGGGAAUCUUCCACAAUGGGCGCAAGCCUGAUGGAGCAACACCGCGUGAGUGAAGAAGGGUUUCGGCUCGUAAAGCUCUGUUGUUAAAGAAGAACACGUAUGAGAGUAACUGUUCAUACGUNGACGGUAUUUAACCAGAAAGUCACGGCUAACUACGUGCCAGCAGCCGCGGUAAUAC